RNAcentral lists this long non-coding RNA (609 nucleotides) under Phaseolus vulgaris (common bean). Its description in RNAcentral is "long non-coding RNA (PVUL_LNC002896)". Lineage: Eukaryota; Viridiplantae; Streptophyta; Magnoliopsida; Fabales; Fabaceae. The record is from RNAcentral.
UUCAGAAACUGUAGUCACUCUGGUUGAAAUUGAAGGUUCUCACAGUAAAACUUGUUGAAUUGAGUAAUGGAAGGGAAUGCGAAAAGCGACCAAAUCGUGGAUGUAGGAUCGGUAGUGGAGGCCGUUUCAGUCGAUGACGGUGAUGCUCCUCUCUACAGCCUCGAAAGUCUUUGCAUGCGAUGUGGUGAAAACGUAAGCUUCUCCCCAUUCUCCGCCACCUUUUCCUUUUCCUUUGGCUUUUCAAUGAAUUCACUUUCUACUUUUUCGCGCACCUUUUGCGUGGUUAACUCAGGGAUUAAAUUCUCCAUUCUUUUACUCUCACUAGUGCAGAAAUGUAAAACAACGACCCUUUAUUUAGUGCGGCUUUGCGUUUAAACGCAUUUGUAAAAAACGCGGUGGCAUUUUUGUAAUUAAAUUGAUUUACAAAUGCGGUUCUAGGGUAAGACCGCAUUUGUAAAUCAAUUAAAAUGAAUUACAACUGCUUUGCAUUGUAAGUUUCAGCUCUCUCUGCUUCAACGUUUGUUUUCGUUUUCGUUUUUGUCAUUGUCAUUAUUCACUUCCUUGGCAUUGUCAUUUCGUUUUCUGCAUAUAGGUGGUUACUGUUCUAUU